GACGAACGCUGGCGGCGUGCUUAACACAUGCAAGUCGAACGGAAAGGCCCUGCUUUUGUGGGGUGCUCGAGUGGCGAACGGGUGAGUAACACGUGAGUAACCUGCCCUUGACCUUGGGAUAACUUCAGGAAACUGGGGCUAAUACCGGAUAGGAGCUCCUGCUGCAUGGUGGGGGUUGGAAAGUUUCGGCGGUUGGGGAUGGACUCGCGGCUUAUCAGCUUGUUGGUGGGGUAGUGGCUUACCAAGGCUUUGACGGGUAGCCGGCCUGAGAGGGUGACCGGCCACAUUGGGACUGAGAUACGGCCCAGACUCCUACGGGAGGCAGCAGUGGGGAAUAUUGCACAAUGGGCGGAAGCCUGAUGCAGCAACGCCGCGUGCGGGAUGACGGCCUUCGGGUUGUAAACCGCCUUCGCCUGUGACGAAGCGUGAGUGACGGUAAUGGGUAAAGAAGCACCGGCUAACUACGUG
This 468-nucleotide ribosomal RNA is filed under the name uncultured bacterium. Its description in RNAcentral is "partial 16S ribosomal RNA". It matches the Rfam family "Bacterial small subunit ribosomal RNA", at positions 28 to 507 of the family's 1533-position model. The record is from RNAcentral.